GGGAGUUUCUGGUGAUGCACCCUGAGAUCAGGCUCCCUCCUCUCUCGUUCGGGGGUGCGUCACCCGAGAACUGCU
Non-coding RNA from Myotis davidii, 75 nucleotides. The record is from Rfam. NCBI's taxonomy places the organism in Eukaryota, Metazoa, Chordata, Mammalia, Chiroptera, Vespertilionidae.